CUUACUCAUGGCUUGGCUGCGGUGUUUUUGUCUCGCUGUCAGUGAGAGCUGCUGGCCUUUGAUAUCAGGAGGGACUGCGAGGUGGGAGUAGGAGAAACAGAGUCGCAGAAAUAGAAGAAGCCUGGAGAGGAGAGACAGGGGGAGGAGAGACCUUCCCGGCAGUGCUGUGAGGUGAACCGUGGGGUGAACGCGAGACUGCAGCCACGGGUGAAUCAUGGCUCAGGUGCUGCAUAUGGACCCCAGCUUCCCAGGUAAACAGACUCAA
Long non-coding RNA from Alosa alosa (allis shad), 265 nucleotides. RefSeq lists it as uncharacterized. The transcript has 3 exons. Lineage: Eukaryota; Metazoa; Chordata; Actinopteri; Clupeiformes; Clupeidae. The record is from RefSeq and is a predicted model, not a curated record.